This 598-nucleotide ribosomal RNA is filed under the name uncultured bacterium. RNAcentral's name for it is "bacterial SSU rRNA". It matches the Rfam family "Bacterial small subunit ribosomal RNA", at positions 36 to 666 of the family's 1533-position model. The record is from RNAcentral.
CUGGCGGCGUGCCUAACACAUGCAAGUCGAACGAGAAAGUGGAGCAAUCCAUGAGUAAAGUGGCGACCGGGUGAGUAACACGUGACUAACCUACCUCCGAGUGGGGAAUAACUCCGGGAAACCGGGGCUAAUACCGCAUAACAUCGCAAGAUCAAAGCAGCAAUGCGCUUGGAGAGGGGGUCGCGGCUGAUUAGCUCGUUGGCGGGGUAACGGCCCACCAAGGCGAAGAUCGGUAUCCGGCCUGAGAGGGCGCACGGACACACUGGAACUGAAACACGGUCCAGACUCCUACGGGAGGCAGCAGUGGGGAAUUUUGCGCAAUGGGGGAAACCCUGACGCAGCAACGCCGCGUGGAGGAUGAAGCCCUUUGGGGCGUAAACUCCUUUCGACUCGGACGAUAGUGACGGUACGAGUGGAAGAAGCACCGGCUAACUCUGUGCCAGCAGCCGCGGUAAUACAGAGGGUGCGAGCGUUGUUCGGAAUUAUUGGGCGUAAAGGGCGCGUANGCGGUGCGGUAAGUCACCUGUGAAAUCUCCCGGCUUAACUGGGAGCCUGCAGGCGAAACUACCGUGCUGGAGUGUGGGAAAGGUGCGUGGAA